UGGGUAGUAACUGUUAGCUGUAGAGCUGACUCUAUGGGUAGUAACUGUUAGCCUUAGAGCUGACUCUAUGGGUAGUAACUGUUAGCCGUAGAGCUGACUCUAUGGGUAGUAACUGUUAGCUGUAGAGCUGACUCUAUGGGUAGUAACUGUUAGCUGUAGAGCUGACUCUAUGGGUAGUAACUGUUAGCCUUAGAGCUGACUCUAUGGGUAGUAACUGUUAGCCUUAGAGCUGACUCUAUGGGUAGUAACUGUUAGCUGUAGAGCUGACUCUAUGGGUAGUAACUGUUAGCAGUAGAGCUGACUCUAUGGGUAGUAACUGUUAGCUUUAGAGCUGACUCUAUGGGUAGUACUGUUAGCCUUAGAGCUGACUCUAUGGGUAGUAACUGUUAGCCUUAGAACUGACUCUAUGGGUAGUAACUGUUAGCCUUAGAGCUGACUCUAUGGGUAGUAACUGUUAGCCUUAGAGCUGACUCUAUGGGUAGUAACUGUUAGCUGUAGAGCUGACUCUAUGGGUAGUAACUGUUAGCUGUAGAGCUGACUCUAUGGGUAGUAACUGUUAGCUGUAGAGCUGACUCUAUGGGUAGUAACUGUUAGCCGUAGAGCUGACUCUAUGGGUAGUAACUGUUAGCUGUAGAGCUGACUCUAUGGGUAGUAACUGUUAGCUGUAGAGCUGACUCAAUGGGUAGUAACUGUUAGCCUUAGAGCUGACUCUAUGGGUAGUAACUGUUAGCUGUAGAGCUGACUCUAUGGGUAGUAACUGUUAGCCUGACUCUAUGGGUAGUAACUGUUAGCCUUAGAGCUGACUCUAUGGGUAGUACUGUUAGCAUUAGAGCUGACUCUAUGGGUAGUACUGUUAGCAUUAGAGCUGACUCUAUGGGUAUAACUGUUAGCCGUAGAGCUGACUCUAUGGGUAGUAACUGUUAGCCUUAGAGCUGACUCUAUGGGUAGUACUGUUAGCAUUAGAGCUGACUCUAUGGGUAGUACUGUUAGCAUUAGAGCUGACUCUAUGGGUAGUAACUGUUAGCCGUAGAGCUGACUCUGGGUAGUAACUGUUAGGGAGCUGACUCUAUGGGUAGUAACUGUUAGCUGUAGAGCUGACUCUAUGGGUAGUAACUGUUAGCUGUAGAGCUGACUCUAUGGGUAGUAACUGUUAGCAUUAGAGCUGACUCUAUGGGUAGUAACUGUUAGCAUUAGAGCUGACUCUAUGGGUAGUAACUGUUAGCUGUAGAGCUGACUCUAUGGGUAGUAACUGUUAGCUGUAGAGCUGACUCUAUGGGUAGUAACUGUUAGCUGUAGAGCUGACUCUAUGGGUAGUAACUGUUAGCUGUAGAGCUGACUCUAUGGGUAGUAACUGUUAGCCGUAGAGCUGACUCUAUGGGUAGUAACUGUUAGCCUUAGAGCUGACUCUAUGGGUAGUAACUGUUAGCUGUAGAGCUGACUCUAUGGGUAGUAACUGUUAGCUGUAGAGCUGACUCUAUGGGUAGUAACUGUUAGCUGUAGAGCUGAC
This is a long non-coding RNA of Oncorhynchus tshawytscha (Chinook salmon), 1507 nucleotides long. Lineage: Eukaryota; Metazoa; Chordata; Actinopteri; Salmoniformes; Salmonidae. The record is from Ensembl.